AUACCAGCACCCCGAGUGGUCGGGACGAUUAUUGGGCCUAAAGCAUCCGUAGCCGGUUCUGCAAGUCUUCCGUUAAAUCCACCUGCUCAACAGAUGGGCUGCGGAGGAUACUACAGGGCUAGGAAGCGGGAGAGGCAAGCGGUACUCAGUGGGUAGGGGUAAAAUCCUCUGAUCCACUGAAGACCACCAGUGGCGAAGGCGGCUUGCCAGAACGCGCUCGACGGUGAGGGAUGAAAGCUGGGCGAGCAAACCGGAUUAGAUUCCCGGGUAGUCCCAGCUGUAAACGAUGCAGACUCGGUGAUGGGUUGGCUUCGAGCCAACCCAGUGCCGCAGGGAAGCCGUUAAGUCUGCCGCCUGGGUAGUACGGUCGCAGGACUGAAACUCAAAUGAAUUGGCGGGG
This 400-nucleotide ribosomal RNA is filed under the name uncultured bacterium. Its description in RNAcentral is "partial 16S ribosomal RNA". It matches the Rfam family "Archaeal small subunit ribosomal RNA", at positions 473 to 873 of the family's 1478-position model. The record is from RNAcentral.